This 1850-nucleotide long non-coding RNA is filed under the name Calidris pugnax (ruff). RNAcentral's name for it is "lncRNA (ENSCPUG00000009847.1)". The record is from RNAcentral. Lineage: Eukaryota; Metazoa; Chordata; Aves; Charadriiformes; Scolopacidae.
UAUCCAUGAAGUUGGCGGGCCAUCUAUUUGUAUCCAGCAGCAACUUUUACAGGCUCCUAUUGUAUUACUGCACACACAUAGAUGCUUUUAUCAUUUAAAAAAAUUAAAAAUCCUCUCUCCACCGUGCUGAACGGCAGUGUUUGCCAGCUGAAUACCCAACCCUCCUGCUUUUCUCCGCCUGUUCCCUCGCUGGCUGCCGGUGGUACGAGCUUGCCCCGCGAGGAACGCCGCCGUACUCUGCUCCCCGGGGUUAACGACUGCGAGUCUCCAUUCCGAGCUGCUCUGUGUGAAGCCCACGGGCCAAGGAUGGGAGAAGUUGGUUCUUUUGAAGCGGUUCGAGGCACGCCCUGCCGCAAAGGGAACUUCACGGGAGUCGGAAACACAGGCACACCGGUCUGAAACACUUACUGUACAAUAGCAGGAAUGUAGGAAGCCUUGGAAAUGAAUCUGCUCUCUCUAAGAAAGUGUCAAAGCUUUCAGAGGAAAACAAACUGAACUUAUCCCCCUAUCUUUAUGCAGAUUUCCCCCCGCUCCUCCAUCCCCCCCAAGUCUGGUUAAGGGCCGAGGCAGCAACUCGGGGUCAGGCACAUAUUAGUGUUACAGGAAAAUGGGUUACAAAAGGCAGGGGGAGAACAGACUUGCAAAAAGCCUCCUCUGUCAUUACGGCCAGACACAUUUUCAAAGCACACAAAGCACAUGGGUUAGCCCUCAGCUUAAUUGUAGCUCAAUAGUCUAAUUGCUCAUUCAAUACCAUUUCAUGACCGGCAGGCUGCUCUUCCACCCGUUAGCAAGUAUUUUAUUCCUUCUCUUCCCUUGCCCCACUUUCUCCACAAAUUCUCCCGUUUCCUUCUUUCCUUUCUAAAAGCAGGAGGGAAUCCUCUCCGUGCCUCCCCUGGCUUGUGAUCUGGUCUUCAGACAGUUAAACGUACAAGUGGAUAGAGACAAAGUUGUGAGUGUCGCUUACUGAGGCCAGAUAAUCCCCACCGAAUCCCACCUGCAACCUGCCCAGGCUCCAGCGUGGGGAGGGAAGGGGGAUUCCUGCCCACCUGGUGACCGACCUGUGCCCUGGAGUGGCAAACCACAUCUAGAGGCUACUACCGUGAGCUACAACACGAAGAUGAUGCAUAGCCUUGAUAAUUUUUAAUCUCAUCUACAGCACCAUCAGAAUAUUCACCAAACAAAAUGUUCAUAUUUACAUUAUUCAGAGCAAGUGAGCAGAGGAGGGUCCAGCAACAAGUCUUUCUUAGGCUUUGCCUAUGAUCAGCACCUGAUGCUUUACUGUCCAAUGUGUUUUAAAUACACAUUAGAAGCGAUGACUGCGAGGAAGACAAAAGCCCAGGUACCUGGGACAUCACUAUGUGGCACCUGCCUCUUUCCACUCGUGAAAGAAUCAUCAGGACCACAUUGCUGCUGAAGCAGAUGUGCCCUCAUUUCUGCAGAGCAAUACUCCUGGCCAGAUCAUUAUAAUUACCCGAUGUCAUUCGCCUUGACUCUUUGAGGGUCUAUAAAACUAAUUCCCUUUUCUUGGUGACAUUUAGCCCCGUAAAGAUCUAGUGCAGACCUGUGCUUUGUGCCCAACCCUGCAGACACUUUCUGUUGUGUACAGUUAAUUCUAGCACAAAUACUCCCACUGCCUCCAAGAGAAAUGCAAAGCAUGGCUAUAACAAUACUUGCCUACCUCCUGGGGUCAUUAUAAGGCAUAAUGAAUUCAGCUUUGUAAUAUAUUUAGAAAUCUUAUAUAUAGAAUUUAUAUCUACAUACACUUUGCACCCUUGUUAAAAUGGCUGUAGCUUUUACGGACAAUUUAAUUUAUGCUCAUAUUUUAAAAAUAAAAAAAACCUUCAAAUUCA